Molecule: ribosomal RNA, 233 nt
Filed under: uncultured bacterium
Lineage: Bacteria
Description: partial 16S ribosomal RNA
Rfam family: Bacterial small subunit ribosomal RNA
Source: RNAcentral
UGAGUAACCUGCCCUUAACUCUGGGAUAAGCCUGGGAAACUGGGUCUAAUACCGGAUAUGACUCCUCAUCGCAUGGUGGGGGGUGGAAAGCUUUUUGUGGUUUUGGAUGGACUCGCGGCCUAUCAGCUUGUUGGUGAGGUAAUGGCUAACCAAGGCGACGACGGGUAGCCGGCCUGAGAGGGUGACCGGCCACACUGGGACUGAGACACGGCCCAGACUCCUACGGGANACAG